Long non-coding RNA from Myotis myotis, 5026 nucleotides. RefSeq lists it as uncharacterized. Lineage: Eukaryota; Metazoa; Chordata; Mammalia; Chiroptera; Vespertilionidae. The record is from RefSeq and is a predicted model, not a curated record. The transcript is spliced from 3 exons.
AACCCUGGCAUGCGCCCCGAUAGGGAAUCAAACUAUGACCUCCUGGUUCAGAGGUCAAGGCUCAACUAUUGAACCACGCUGGCUGGGCCAUUGAUUGUUUCUUAUUUUUGGGGGGCUAAGUGAAGCCCAAUAAUUUGGAGGGAUUCUUAUCUUAAAAUACAGAGUCUCAGACUUACAGAAAUCUGCAUUUUCCUUAUCUCCCCAGGUAAUUUUCAGAAGCUUUCAAACUCAUGAUUAGAUACCUAAAUUGUAUUUACAUUGGUCUUAAACUAAGAAUGUCAAUCCUCGGUGAAAAUCAGUAUAUCCUGGUAAAUUAGCCAUGUGACUUCCGAGUGGUGCUGAUUUCCAAAGCUGAGAUAAUGUAAAAUAUUACAGUGAAGCAUUAUUAAGCUUGAAGUUCAGCCAUAUAGAGAAUUUGUUUAGGUGUGACAGAGUUGAUGGCUACAUUUUAUUUAUCUAAGUUAAGGCUUAUUAUUAGCUAUGAAAAGGAUUGGCAUAAACUGCUCAUUAACAUUGAUUAACUGUUUCUCUAAAAGGACUAAACAAUACAAGCACAGGGCAGGCGUCAGUCAGAAAACGCCAUACUUUAUAACAUUUCCCCCAUUUGCUCUUUUGUGUGCUGUUUCAGAAAUUGUAAAUCUGCUACUCUAUUUCCCAAAAUCUUUUCCUCCCUCCUUAGAUUCUUAACCUUGUAUUAUGAAUACUGGAACGUUACUUAGAUCAUCUGUUCCAGCUCUCUUCAAUUCCAAAGUGAUACUAUUUUAAGAAGGCAUGGAAGGGAAAAUCCACAAAAUAUGCCUGGAGUUGUCAACCUUGUAAAUGACACAUAGUGAAAGCUUAGUCGUGGAGGAUUGUCACAGAGCCUGAUGUUAGCUCGGGAAAUAUGUGUCAUCUUAGAGAACUGACAGGAAAAGGGUACCAGGGAAAAGCCUGCUGGGCACCAAUUCCAGGAGCCUGGCCUGAGAGGCAGCCCUCUCUGUUAAGCAGGAGUAUAAAUAUUUUGCGGGUUAUGCAGGAAAGCAGAUUAUAUUCCUCUGCUUCUUAAAGUAUUUUAUAUAGUUACUUGGCACAGAAGUUGUACAUAAUCUCCUCUGGCUUUCCCCCCAAACAAACAGACCCCAUAGCUGGAAAUGUCCCAGACCAUGGGGAAACUGUCAUUUGGAUUUUUCCCUCUGCCUGCAGCGAGGGAAGGGAGCAAAGGAGAGCACUUGAGAAUGUUCUUGGCAAUGGCCAUGAAAAGUAAAGGAAGUGAAAAUCCUCAAAGGUCAAGUAUACUUUCAAACCUCCAACUGGGCCACAUCUGAAAGAGAUCCCUUCCUUGUCAUUUCUAGGAAAGGGGUAGGACAUGAAAUUCACUGCACAGCCCUGCCAACCGAUGUGUAAUUUACAAUGCUUCUCUCAUCUUCAGCUUUUACCUUUUCAAAAAAAGAAGAAGAAUGAAACAAAAAUUCCAUAGAAAAUGCUAUUCUGACCUUUGGUCUUCCUUUUAUCUGGGUAGGACUAGGUGGAUGUCUUAGCGGGGGCUGCUAUUACAAAAUACCACAGAUUGGGUGACUGAAGCAACAGAAAAUUUUUUUCUCACAGUUCUGGAGGCUGGAAGUCCAAGAUCAAGGUCUUUGCAGGUUUGGUUUCUCCUGAGGCCUCUCUCCUUGGCUUGCUGAUGGCUGCCUUCUGCUGUGUCUUCACAUGGCCAUUUCUCUGUGCAUGAGUGAGAGAGAUCUCUGUUGUCUCUUUGUUUUCCAGUCCUAGUGGAUUAGGGCCCAUGCUUAUGACUGUAUAUAACUUUACCUCCUUAAAGGUGCUAUCUCUGAGUAUAGUCACAUUGGCCUAAAGGCUUCAAUGUAUGACUUUUGGGGUAACACACAUUAGUUUAUAAACAGUUGGCUACAUCACGCUUCUGGAUAGACACAGUGUACCCCCUCUUCAGUAUUUAUCAGUCCUCAGCUAUUUAAUGUACACGGAUGGUGUCUUUAUCCCCAGAAAGUCAGAGGGACCAUGAAAGAUAUUUGUUCUGCUUCUGCACCCUAAGUCAUUGAAACCAAGUUUCGCUUUAGCAGUCUUCACUCUGCCUGUAUGAACUUCCUAUGUAUGACCUCUUUGGCAUAUAAAGCAUAUAUUUAACCUGAAGAGAUUUGAAGGCUUUUGAAAACUUGUCUUUUUGCUAAUUUAUCUAUACUCUUUUAGGCUCCUGGAGAGAAUUUUUUUUGUGAAGAUCAGCUUGUCAAAAAUGACCCCUAAAGUGAAAUCGAUAUGCUGAAUUUUAUGGAUGACUCCCACUGUCCCGAAUUCACUCAUCUUAGUUGCUGAGCGUAGGAAUGACAGCAGACUCAGUUUUGGCAUUCAUGUCAUCACCCUGGAGUUAGUAAAACCUUAAACCAGCCAGGCAUCGGGCAUGCAUUUUGCUGCCAGGGACAGCUCAGCUUCUGGUGUCUUAGAGAGGAUGUGACAUAACCUCUGUGCUUCCAAGGUGUUUGAAACUAAAGACCUUCUAUUUCCUUGCUGAGCUUAAGAGUUGACAGUGGUGUCCAAAAUUCCCAUGGUCUUACCAGGAUAAGCCAUGCUGCCACUGAUGGCCAAGAAAGGCAGGUGGAUGUGUGCCCUGUAGAAGGGUGUUGGGAGAGAGAGCUGAGAGCUGAAACAAAGCAACAUUUAGUAGCCACUGAAACACGUUCUGGUGCUUGGAGCGUGAACAUCUCUGCACUGAUGGGGCUAAAUUAAACUCUUAGAUUAUAGAGCUCUUUUAUUCCUCAACCCCUGUCUCCCUAUCCCAGCCUUGAAUGCAGAGCUCACCAAGAAACCACACUCUACCCCAAUGCAAUGAUUAGAGCGAGAAACAGUUAUCUUAUCAGCAAAUGGUUAAUAUUCACUUAUGAGCAGUGUAUUAGUUUCUUAGGGUGGCUAUCACAAAUUACUACAAAUUGGGUUUGCCUGAAGCAACAUUCUCUCAUCAUUCUGGAGGCCAGAAGUCCAAAAUCAGGGGGUCCAUCUGCAGGGCUGUGCUACCUCCGAAGGCUCUGAGGAGCAUCUGUUACUUUCCUUUCUCUUGUUUGUGGUGCUGCCUACAACCCUUAGCAUUCCUUUGGCUUGUAGAGACAUCACUCCCAUCUCUGCUUUCAUCUUCAAGUCAGUAUUCUCCUUUUGUCUCUGUCUCUGCGUGUCUUCUCCAGUAUGAUCAAGAGCCUGCCUUAUUCCAGGAGAGUCCACCCUAGUCCAUAUUGGAUUGAGGUCCUAUCUUAUUCUAGUAUGAUCUCACCUUUACUUGAUUGCAUCAGCAAAGAGCCUAUCUCCAAAUGAGCCAUACUCACAGGUAUCAGGGAUUAGGACUUCAGCAUACCUUUUUGGGGAACAUAAUUCAACCCAUAUCAGGCAGUUUAGUUUUUUCUUUCCCUUGACUUAUAUGAAUUUGAAAAAUUGACCAAGUUUCUCCCUGAAACAUUAUCAAAUUUAAGUCAGGUUCUGCUUGUCUUGAAUUGAUGAUCUCUUUGUAUAAAAAGAAUAAUUUACAUAUUUAAUUGGUACAAAUUGUGAAAGGCUUUAAAUGCUUUGCAUUUGCUUGAGGCUGAUUAAUGAGUAAAUUUGUAAACUGUGGCUGUUUUAAUUUGCCGGGGUUAAUUAAUGUUUACUGCACUUGGAAGAUGAAAAGACAUAUAUAAAUGCACCGUAAUGUGAAUCAUUUUUUAAUUUGUUGUGGAGCAUAAAGUAUAUUCAAAUUGCUUACAUCACUUUUUUUAAAAAAGGCUGUUGGAACACUAUGGUAAUUAGUGGAGAGGACUCUAAAAUGUUGAGGUGAAUUAAUGACAUAUUAUUGAAGAUAUCCUGUUUUAAUACUAUAUAUUCCAAGAAAGGUAGUUAUAUUUUUACUCUCAUUAUGUAAAAAGUAAAGAGUAGAAAACUCAGAGGUCAAAAUUGAUAAUUAUAUAGUGUAUCAUAAUUUAGAUAAAGUCUGGAUUUGUUUGUUUUUGCUUUGGCUUUUUAGUUCUGAGUUGAGACUUUUGGAGCAGGGUAGAAAAAAAAGGCUAGCUGUGCUGAAAUGAAAAUAAGAUUUAAAGCAACAUUUUUAAAGAGAAGAAAUUACUAGAAUUUUUUGUAAAUUUUCAACUGGAGAUGCAUCGGGGGCUGGGAUGAGGUCUAGUGCUGAGACUGGGAAGUGAUUAGAAGGAAAGACUCGGGUAAGGUCUCCCCUAUGAGGCUGGAAGCUGAGCAUCAUGGAAAGCGAUUGCCUCAGGCAGUGAAUGAAUGGGUUCUCCAUUCUUGUGAGGAGGUGGCCAUCUGGGGCAAUUUUCCAACAUGAUCAAUGGAACACACCUCUGGCACCAGGAUCCAUAGUUCACGAGGCAACUUAAAGUGGCGCUGGCCUCGGGGAUACCACCCCAUUCCACGUCACCAUUACCUGAAAAGAAGGCGAAUCCACGGUUAAGGAAGCAAAAAGCUAACAGGCUUUGCUAACCAAUACGUCCCUCUAAAGAUAAAGUCCGUCAAUUGAGCAUUUACCAGAUGAAUCCAUUGGAAUGCACUUCCUUCAUAGCAGAGAAUGAUUGCUGGCUGUUGGGAGAGGCACUGGUUCCCAUUCCUUUGGUUUCAUUGGGUCCGCCCCAGGAUAUCUGUUACCCAGGUGCAACUGAGGGUACACGGGGAAGCUGAAAUCCAGUCUUCAUGCAGCUACAAGCCAUGUGCCCUGUGCGUGACUCACUCCCCAAAGAAAGCAGCACAUGGCCUUUAUGAGAAAUAAAGGUGAUGCUUUCGUCUCCACCUGCUCUCUCUUGAUUGGUGCAGAGCUCAGGUGAGAAAGGAGACAUUAUGGAUUGAUGCCCAGACACCCCAACACCAGCAGCAAAGGCUCCAGGACAGGAUGGGCCCAGAUUAUAUAAAGACCCCUGGAUGACAUUGCCUUUAUUAAAAUAUGUGCAAGGGAAGUAAAACCGUAUUUGAGUAUUUUUCAAAAAUAAUCUUCCUCGCCCUGGCUGGGUAACUCAGUUGGAGGGUCAUCCCAUCCACCAAAAGGUUGCAGGUUGGAUUGCCCAUCAGA